This 492-nucleotide ribosomal RNA is filed under the name uncultured bacterium. RNAcentral's name for it is "partial 16S ribosomal RNA". It matches the Rfam family "Bacterial small subunit ribosomal RNA", at positions 29 to 507 of the family's 1533-position model. The record is from RNAcentral.
AGUGAACGCUGGCGGUAGGCCUAACACAUGCAAGUCGAACGGCAGCACAGUAAGAGCUUGCUCUUACGGGUGGCGAGUGGCGGACCGGUGAGGAAUACAUCGGAAUCUACUUUUUCGUGGGGGAUAACGUAGGGAAACUUACGCUAAUACCGCAUACGACCUACGGGUGAAAGCAGGGGAUCUUCGGACCUUGCGCGAUUGAAUGAGCCGAUGUCGGAUUAGCUAGUUGGCGGGGUAAAGGCCCACCAAGGCGACGAUCCGUAGCUGGUCUGAGAGGAUGAUCAGCCACACUGGAACUGAGACACGGUCCAGACUCCUACGGGAGGCAGCAGUGGGGAAUAUUGGACAAUGGGCGCAAGCCUGAUCCAGCCAUACCGCGUGUGUGAAGAAGGCCUUCGGGUUGUAAAGCCCUUUUGUUGGGAAAGAAAAGCAGCAGGUUAAUACCCCGCUGUUCUGACGGUACCCAAAGAAUAAGCACCGGCUAACUUCGUG